CCUACGGGAGGCAGCAGUGGGGGAUAUUGCACAAUGGGGGAAACCCUGAUGCAGCGACGCCGCGUGGGCGAAGAAGUAUUUCGGUAUGUAAAGCCCUAUCAGCAGGGAAGAAGAAAUGACGGUACCUGAGUAAGAAGCACCGGCUAAAUACGUGCCAGCAGCCGCGGUGAUACGUAUGGUGCAAGCGUUAUCCGGAUUUACUGGGUGUAAGGGGAGCGCAGGCGGCACGGCAAGCCUGAUGUGAAAGCCCGCGGCCCACCCGCGGGAGUGCAUUGGGAAGUACCGGGCUGGAGUGCCGGAGCGGUAGGCGGAAUGCCUAGUGUAGCGGUGAAAUGCAUAGAUAUUAGGAGGAACACCAGUGGCGAAGGCGGCCUACGGGACGGUGACUGACGCUGAGGCACGAAAGCGUGGGGAACAAACAGGAUUAGAUACCCUGGUAGUC
Molecule: ribosomal RNA, 442 nt
Filed under: uncultured bacterium
Lineage: Bacteria
Description: partial 16S ribosomal RNA
Rfam family: Bacterial small subunit ribosomal RNA
Source: RNAcentral